UGGCUCAGGAUGAACGCUAGCGGCAGGCCUAAUACAUGCAAGUCGAACGGGUGUAGCAAUACACUAGUGGCGCACGGGUGCGUAACGCGUAACCAACCUGCCCUGAACUGGGGGAUAGCCCGCCGAAAGGCGGAUUAAUACCGCAUAAACCAACAGAAUGGCAUCAUUCAAUUGGUAAAGAUUUAUUGGUUCAGGAUGGGGUUGCGUGACAUUAGCUAGAUGGCGGGGUAACGGCUCACCAUGGCGACGAUGUCUAGGGGACCUGAGAGGGUGAUCCCCCACACUGGCACUGAGAUACGGGCCAGACUCCUACGGGAGGCAGCAGUAGGGAAUAUUGGGCAAUGGGCGAGAGCCUGACCCAGCCAUGCCGCGUGCAGGAUGAAGGCCUUCUGGGUUGUAAACUGCUUUUCUCAGGGAAGAAAAAGGGCAUGCGUGCUCAACUGACGGUAC
This 450-nucleotide ribosomal RNA is filed under the name Hymenobacter sp. R-39177. RNAcentral's name for it is "bacterial SSU rRNA". It matches the Rfam family "Bacterial small subunit ribosomal RNA", at positions 20 to 478 of the family's 1533-position model. Lineage: Bacteria; Pseudomonadati; Bacteroidota; Cytophagia; Cytophagales; Hymenobacteraceae. The record is from RNAcentral.